Molecule: ribosomal RNA, 385 nt
Filed under: uncultured bacterium
Lineage: Bacteria
Description: bacterial SSU rRNA
Rfam family: Bacterial small subunit ribosomal RNA
Source: RNAcentral
AUUGAACGCUGGCGGCAUGCUUUACACAUGCAAGUCGAACGGCAGCACGGGGGCAACCCUGGUGGCGAGUGGCGAACGGGUGAGUAAUACAUCGGAACGUGCCCAGUUGUGGGGGACAACCAGUCGAAAGACUGGCUAAUACCGCAUACGACCUAAGGGUGAAAGCGGGGGAUCGCAAGACCUCGCGCUAUUGGAGCGGCCGAUGUCCGAUUAGCUAGUUGGUGGGGUAAGAGCCUACCAAGGCGACGAUCGGUAGCUGGUCUGAGAGGACGACCAGCCACACUGGGACUGAGACACGGCCCAGACUCCUACGGGAGGCAGCAGUGGGGAAUUUUGGACAAUGGGCGAAAGCCUGAUCCAGCCAUGCCGCGUGCGGGAAGAAGGC